GUGCGAGUGACAAGGCAGCUUCACAUCUCUGUGCUUCCUUCUCCUCAUGGGCGAAGUCAGGAAAAGUGUCUCUCCUUCCUGUUCCUUCUGAAGCCAUCGUGGUUAUCCCAGGCAACUACAGUCAGCUUCUCUCAACCCAAGGGACUCAAUUCCAAAGAGGGAGCAGGGAGAGGGCAGCUGCCCG
Long non-coding RNA from Homo sapiens (human), 184 nucleotides. RefSeq lists it as uncharacterized. The transcript is spliced from 3 exons. Lineage: Eukaryota; Metazoa; Chordata; Mammalia; Primates; Hominidae. The record is from RefSeq and is a predicted model, not a curated record.